Penaeus monodon (black tiger shrimp) is the source of this 105-nucleotide small nuclear RNA. NCBI's taxonomy places the organism in Eukaryota, Metazoa, Arthropoda, Malacostraca, Decapoda, Penaeidae. The record is from RefSeq and is a predicted model, not a curated record.
AUUUGCUCCGGCAGAACAUAAACUAAAAUUGGAACGAUAUAGAGAUGAUUAGCAUGGUCCCUGCGCAAGGAUGACACGCGAAACCGUGAAGUAUCCCACAGUUUU